UGAUGGAUGAACAGAUGGAUUUUUCAUUCAGCCACAGACCCCAUCACCAUGACAGGUGCGUCCUCUAUGGGGUCGAACAUGGAGUUAUGAGCCUGGAGCUCUUUGCACAUAAAGCAGAUAAACUCCUACAUAAGUGAGCCAUGGUGAGUUCAGUUUGAUGAUGCCUUGUUUUUUUACAAUUCAGAUAUUCAUGACUCAUGAUUUUUGCAUUGCAGGUGAAAAUUAGAGAGCCUUGGAGCUUUGCUAAAUGGGUUCCACAACACCUGACACCGUGCAAGACUGGCUGUAAAAAUAACAAAACAAAAAAA
Long non-coding RNA from Austrofundulus limnaeus, 308 nucleotides. RefSeq lists it as uncharacterized. The record is from RefSeq and is a predicted model, not a curated record. Lineage: Eukaryota; Metazoa; Chordata; Actinopteri; Cyprinodontiformes; Rivulidae. The transcript is spliced from 2 exons.